Molecule: ribosomal RNA, 601 nt
Filed under: uncultured bacterium
Lineage: Bacteria
Description: bacterial SSU rRNA
Rfam family: Bacterial small subunit ribosomal RNA
Source: RNAcentral
CGAAGGCAGCCUGCCGGGGUGUUACUGACGCUCAUGCUCGAAGGUGCGGGUAUCGAACAGGAUUAGAUACCCUGGUAGUCCGCACGGUAAACGAUGGACGCCCGCUGUUGGGCCCUAGGGUUCAGCGGCCAAGCGAAAGCGUUAAGCGCCCCACCUGGGGAGUACGCCGGCAACGGUGAAACUCAAAGGAAUUGACGGGGGCCCGCACAAGCGGAGGAACAUGUGGUUUAAUUCGAUGAUACGCGAGGAACCUUACCCGGGCUUGAACUGCAGCGGAAGGAUACAGAGAUGUUGACGUCCUUCGGGGCUGCUGUGGAGGUGCUGCAUGGUUGUCGUCAGCUCGUGCCGUGAGGUGUCGGCUUAAGUGCCAUAACGAGCGCAACCCUUUUCGAGAGUUACCAUCAGGUUAAGCUGGGGACUCUCUCGACACUGCCACCGUAAGGUGUGAGGAAGGUGGGGAUGACGUCAAAUCAGCACGGCCCUUACGUCCAGGGCGACACACGUGCUACAAUGGCCGGUACAGAGGGCAGCCAAGCGCGAGGGGGAGCGAAUCUCGAAAGCCGGUCUCAGUUCGGAUCGGAGUCUGCAACUCGCUCCGUGA